This 478-nucleotide ribosomal RNA is filed under the name uncultured bacterium. RNAcentral's name for it is "bacterial SSU rRNA". It matches the Rfam family "Bacterial small subunit ribosomal RNA", at positions 30 to 524 of the family's 1533-position model. The record is from RNAcentral.
AUUGAACGCUGGCGGCGUGCUUAACACAUGCAAGUCGAGCGGUAACAGGUGUAGCAAUACAUGCUGACGAGCGGCGAACGGGUGAGUAAUGCUUCGGAAUCUUCCUCGUAGUGGGGAAUAACCUGGGGAAACUCAGGCUAAUACCGCAUACGAACUACGGUUGAAAGCAGGGGAUCGCAAGACCUUGCGCUAUGAGAUGAGCCGAAGUCGGAUUAGCUAGUUGGUGAGGUAAAGGCUCACCAAGGCGACGAUCUGUAGCGGGUCUGAGAGGAUGAUCCGCCACACUGGGACUGAGACACGGCCCAGACUCCUACGGGAGGCAGCAGUGGGGAAUAUUGGACAAUGGGCGCAAGCCUGAUCCAGCCAUGCCGCGUGAGUGACGAAGGCCUUAGGGUUGUAAAGCUCUUUUGUCGGGGACGAUAAUGACGGUACCCGAAGAAUAAGCUCCGGCUAACUUCGUGCCAGCAGCCGCGGUAAU